Nylanderia fulva is the source of this 501-nucleotide non-coding RNA. NCBI's taxonomy places the organism in Eukaryota, Metazoa, Arthropoda, Insecta, Hymenoptera, Formicidae. The record is from RefSeq and is a predicted model, not a curated record.
CAUUGUGCGACAGGCGUUAAUGAGACAAAAUAACAAAAAGAUUUACAAACCGCAAGAAUUACCUUUGAGAUAACUUUUUUCGAAGAACUUGUCAUAUGUGGCUGCAUAACGAAAUUGCUUGUACACGCAUCGAUAGUUGAUGAUAUCUUCAAUAGUGAGUACAUUAUCGUCGAGAAUGUGGCUUAUCAUCUCCUCUGUACAAGAAAUGCGUCUGCCGAUUACGAAGAGCACAGAUGUGUGUUUGAUGUACACGAGAGACGUUUUCCACACUGUAGACGUUCUGUUCUUUAUUAUAAAAUUUGACCUUAAAUUUUGAAGCAUUAUUGCUUGUUUUCACUAAGAUAUAGGUAUAAGAACUUGCCACGGCAUGCGCAGAAAAUGUAAUUUAGAACUAGCAAACCGUUUCUUCCUAUGCGUUUGAAAGAACGUGUUUAAAACUCCAGUGUUGUGCAUUGUCAAAAUUUCUUGAUAAGAGAGAAAGAGAAAAAGAGAGAUUUACUU